GAUGAACGCUGGCUACAGGCUUAACACAUGCAAGUCGUGGGGAAACGGCAUUAUGUGCUUGCACAUUCUGGACGUCGACCGGCGCACGGGUGAGUAUCGCGUAUCCAACCUGCCCCUUACUUGGGGAUACCCCGUCGAAAGACGGCCUAAUACCCGAUGUGUUUCAUUGACGGCAUCCGAUAUGAAACAAAGGUUUUUCCGGUAAGGGAUGGGGAUGCGUCUGAUUAGCUUGUUGGCGGGGCAACGGCCCACCAAGGCGACGAUCAGUAGGGGUUCUGAGAGGAAGGUCCCCCACAUUGGAACUGAGACACGGUCCAAACUCCUACGGGAGGCAGCAGUGAGGAAUAUUGGUCAAUGGACGCAAGUCUGAACCAGCCAAGUAGCGUGCAGGAUGACGGCCCUAUGGGUUGUAAACUGCUUUUAUGUGGGAAUAAAGUGGCGCACGUGUGCGCCAUUGCAU
Molecule: ribosomal RNA, 460 nt
Filed under: Prevotella nigrescens
Lineage: Bacteria; Pseudomonadati; Bacteroidota; Bacteroidia; Bacteroidales; Prevotellaceae
Description: bacterial SSU rRNA
Rfam family: Bacterial small subunit ribosomal RNA
Source: RNAcentral